GAUGAACGCUGGCGGUACGUCUGACACAUGCAAGUCGAGCGACAAGGGGGCUUCGGCCCCUGGAGGAGCGGCGAACGGCUGAGUAACACGUAGGUACCUACCCCCCGGCUCGGGAUAACGGACCGAAAGGACCGCUAAUACCGGAUAUAUCCUUCGGGAGGAAAGGCUUGCCACCGGGAGAGGGGCCUGCGGCGUAUUAGCUUGAUGGUGGGGUAAAGGCCUACCAUGGCGAUGAUGCGUAGCUGGUCUGAGAGGACGAUCAGCCAGACUGGGACUGAGACACGGCCCAGACUCCUACGGGAGGCAG
This 307-nucleotide ribosomal RNA is filed under the name uncultured cyanobacterium. Its description in RNAcentral is "bacterial SSU rRNA". It matches the Rfam family "Bacterial small subunit ribosomal RNA", at positions 28 to 351 of the family's 1533-position model. The record is from RNAcentral. Lineage: Bacteria; Bacillati; Cyanobacteriota.